RNAcentral lists this ribosomal RNA (466 nucleotides) under uncultured bacterium. Its description in RNAcentral is "partial 16S ribosomal RNA". It matches the Rfam family "Bacterial small subunit ribosomal RNA", at positions 28 to 507 of the family's 1533-position model. The record is from RNAcentral.
GACGAACGCUGGCGGCGUGCUUAACACAUGCAAGUCGAACGGUAAGGCUCCAGCUUGCUGGGGUACACGAGUGGCGAACGGGUGAGUAACACGUGGGUGACCUGCCCUGCACUUCGGGAUAAGCCUGGGAAACUGGGUCUAAUACCGGAUAGGACCAUGGUGUGGAUACUGUGGUGGAAAGUUUUUUCGGUGUGGGAUGGGCCCGCGGCCUAUCAGCUUGUUGGUGGGGUAAUGGCAUACCAAGGCGGCGACGGGUAGCCGGCCUGAGAGGGUGGAAGGCCACAUUGGGACUGGGACACGGCCCAGACUCCUACGGGAGGCAGGAGUGGGGAAUAUUGCACAAUGGGCGGAAGCCUGAUGCAGCGACGCCGCGUGGGGGAUGACGGCCUUCGGGUUGUAAACUCCUUUCACCAUAGACGAAGGGUUUCUGACGGUAGAUGGAGAAGAAGCACCGGCUAACUACGUG